AAUCGAACCCGGAGAUAGCUGGUUCUCCUCGAAAUAGCUUUAGGGCUAGCCUCAUGGAUCAUUGAUGGGGGUAGAGCACUGAAUGUGCGCGGGGGCCACAAAGCCUACCAAACGCUAUCAAACUUCGAAUACCAUACAAUGCAGACCAUGGGAGUCAGUCCGCGAGAGAUAAGUUCCGCGGGCAAAAGGGGAACACCCCAGAUCAACCGCUAAGGUCCCCAAGUUCACGUUAAGUGGAGAAGGAUGUGGAAUUGCACAGACAACCAGGAUGUUGGCUCAGAAGCAGCCACACAUUUAAAGAGUGCGUAAUAGCUCACUGGUCGAGUGAUUGUGCGCCGAAGAUGUCCGGGGCUAAACGUGACACCGAAGCGAUGGGUGCGUCUGAAAAAGAUGCGCGGUAGAGGAGCAAUGUGCAGAGGCAGAAGCCGUAUCGAGAGGCACGGUGGACACUGCACAAGAGAGAAUGCCGGUAUGAGUAGCGAGAGGCAUGCGAGAAACAUGCCCGUCGAAAGCCCAAGGUUUCCUGGGGAAGGUUCAUCCGCCCAGGGUAAGUCGGGGCCUAAGCCGAGGACGGAAGUCGUAGGCGAUGGACAGCAGGUGUAGAUUCCUGCACUACCGAUGGAAUGAAGCAGUGACACAGAAGGAUAACUCGAGCAGGGUGAUGGUCAACCCUGUGCAAGCAUCAAGGUUGGGUUGUAGUGAAGUACGCAACCCUACAAGCUGAGAUGUGAUGCGGACCGAAAUUUCAGUAGGGAAGCGAGUGAGUUCACGCUGGCGAGAAAAGCUGCUAGUACAUCCAAAGGUACCCGUACCGGAAACCGACGCAGGUGGGCGAGGAGAGAAUCCUGAGACGAACGGGAGAACCCUUGUUAAGGAACUCGGCAAAAUGACCCCGUAACUUCGGGAUAAGGGGUGCCUGCGAGAGCAGGCCGCAGAGAAUAGUCACAAGCGACUGUUUAGCAAAAACACAGGUAUCUGCGAAAGCGAGAGCUGACGUAUAGGUGCUGACACCUGCCCGGUGCUGGAAGGUUAAGGGAACAUGUUAGAGCAAUCGAAGCAUCGAACCGAAGCCCCAGUAAACGGCGGCCGUAACUAUAACGGUCCUAAGGUAGCGAAAUUCCUUGUCGGGUAAGUUCCGACCCGCACGAAUGGUGUAACGACUUGUGAGCUGUCUCAACAGGGGGCCCGGUGAAAUUGAAGUAUGGGUGAAGAUGCCCAUUACCCGCGACUGGACGGAGAGACCCCGUAGAGCUUUACUGCAGCCUGAUAUUGAGUUUCGGUAACUGAUGCACAGGAUAGGUGGGAGUCUGAGAGACAUGGGUUUCGGCUCAUGUGGAGACGGUGUUGGGAUACCACUCUUCGGUUACUGAAAUUCUAACAUAGCUCUGUGAAACCAGAGGAUGGACAGUGUCAGGUGGACAGUUUGACUGGGGCGGUCGCCUCCGAAAGAGUAACGGAGGCGCCCAAAGGUACCCUCAGAAUGGAUGGAAACCAUUCGAAGAGCGCAAAGGCAGAAGGGUGCCUGACUGCGAGAUUGACAAAUCGAGCAGAGACGAAAGUCGGGCUUAGUGAUCCGGCGGUAUUGAGUGGAAAAGCCGUCGCUUAACGGAUAAAAGCUACCUCGGGGAUAACAGGCUGAUCUCCCCCAAGAGUCCACAUCGACGGGGAGGUUUGGCACCUCGAUGUCGGCUCAUCGCAUCCUGGGGCUGAAUUCGGUCCCAAGGGUUUGGCUGUUCGCCAAUUAAAGCGGCACGCGAGCUGGGUUCAGAACGUCGUGAGACAGUUCGGUCCCUAUCCAUCGUGGGCGUAGGAGUCAUGAGAGGAGCUGUUCCUAGUACGAGAGGACCGGAAUGGACGCACCACUGGUGCAACUGUUGUCGUGCCAACGGCAUAGCAGGGAAGCGAAGUGCGGAUGGGAUAAACGCUGAAGGCAUCUAAGCGUGAAGCCCACCUCAAGAAUAAGACUCCACAAUAGACCCCUGGAGGACUACCAGGUAGAUAGGUCAUCGGUGGAAGCGCUGUAAGGCGUGU
RNAcentral lists this ribosomal RNA (2031 nucleotides) under human gut metagenome. RNAcentral describes it as "bacterial LSU rRNA". It matches the Rfam family "Bacterial large subunit ribosomal RNA", at positions 831 to 2888 of the family's 2925-position model. The record is from RNAcentral.